UCGAGGAUCUUCGGCAAUGGGCGCAAGCCUGACCGAGCGACGCCGCGUGUGCGAUGAAGGCCUUCGGGUUGUAAAGCACUGUCGAGGGGGAGGAAAGCCCGCAAGGGUCUGACCUAUCCCUGGAGGAAGCACGGGCUAAGUUCGUGCCAGCAGCCGCGGUAAGACGAACCGUGCGAACGUUGUUCGGAUUCACUGGGCUUAAAGGGCGCGUAGGCGGGCGAUCAAGUCAGGGGUGAAAUCUUUCGGCCCAACCGGAAAAGUGCCUUUGAUACUGGUCGCCUCGAGGGAGGUAGGGGCGUGUGGAACUUCCGGUGGAGCGGUGAAAUGCGUAGAUAUCGGAAGGAACGCCGGUGGCGAAAGCGACGCGCUGGACCUCUUCUGACGCUGAGGCGCGAAAGCCAGGGGAGCAAACGGGAUUAGAUACCCCCGUAGUCC
This 435-nucleotide ribosomal RNA is filed under the name uncultured bacterium. Its description in RNAcentral is "bacterial SSU rRNA". It matches the Rfam family "Bacterial small subunit ribosomal RNA", at positions 355 to 796 of the family's 1533-position model. The record is from RNAcentral.